UACGUAGGGACCAAGCGUUGUUCGGAUUUACUGGGCGUAAAGCGUGCGCAGGCGGCUCUGUAAGUCACUUGUGAAAUCUCUGAGCUUAACUCAGAACGGCCAAGUGAUACUGCAGUGCUAGAGUGUAGAAGGGGCAAUCGGAAUUCUUGGUGUAGCGGUGAAAUGCGUAGAUAUCAAGAGGAACACCUGAGGUGAAGGCGGGUUGCUGGUCUAACACUGACGCUGAGGCGCGAAAGCCUGGGGAGCAAACGGG
RNAcentral lists this ribosomal RNA (253 nucleotides) under uncultured bacterium. RNAcentral describes it as "partial 16S ribosomal RNA". It matches the Rfam family "Bacterial small subunit ribosomal RNA", at positions 524 to 776 of the family's 1533-position model. The record is from RNAcentral.